RNAcentral lists this long non-coding RNA (988 nucleotides) under Musa acuminata (dwarf banana). RNAcentral's name for it is "long non-coding RNA (MACU_LNC006845)". The record is from RNAcentral. Lineage: Eukaryota; Viridiplantae; Streptophyta; Magnoliopsida; Zingiberales; Musaceae.
AUAUAUAUAUAUAGUCUUAGAAACAAUAAGCAAGAUUAGUCUCGUGUUUAUUCAAUAGGUAAGAUUAAUCUCUUGUUUGAUGGUGGGUUCCCAGAAAAAGAAUGUUCUGCCGGCAUGCCGAUGGAAUGCAAUAUGUAAACUGUGCAUGGCGAAUAUGUUGGCAGCACACAUAAUUCCAUAUCGAUGAAACGAUCUGUCACUUUGUGUGCAUGUCUUGUACAAUUGAUUGCCGCAGAAGCGAAGGGCAGUUGUCGACAUGCGUCCCAGACACAGUUGUUUCCGCCACGCCGCCGUCUUCCAAUAAUGUUGCCACCUCCAAGAACAGUCCUGAUGAUGCUUCACCCCAUGAAAGGCCUCUGCUUACUAUAUGGAUGUUGUAUGGAAUCUAACAAGAAGAAAAAUCAAACUCAUCCAUAGAGAAGAUAGAAGAAGAAGAAGAAGAUAAGAACGAUAGAUUGCUACCUCGAGGAACAGUAAAAGUGGUCAGGAAUAGUGGUCAAAACUAAGAGUCUCAUAAGAAUUUUAGGGAUGAAAUGACCUAUGGUAUUGUUUUUGUUUGUGUUAACAGAAUAUUAUUUUUCUUAUUUUUCAAAAAUAAAGUAACGAGAAAUUUUCUUAAAGCAAACAUAAUAAUAAAUGCAAUAAAAAAAGGAGAGAGAGAGAGAGAGAGAGAGAGAGAGAGAGAGAGCGAUAGAGAGAGAGAGAGAUAGAGAGAGAAGAAGAAUAAGAAGAAGCACAGUUAUUAGACAUGACUCUGGUCAUAUAAUAAUGGAUAGAGAGGAGGCCAGAAACCAGAGGAGUGGUUCGCGUUUAAUCCCAUGUUUCUUCGGGGAAGGAGGGGGAGGAGUAGGAGGGUGGGCGAAGCAUGGAGACAGGGAAGGGCCAAAACAGAGGGACGUGCUGCCAUGAUGCUGAUGGUACGUAGACACAUCCUCUUAUUUGGACGCAUAUCUCGCAUCCGCGACAAGUAAUUACUCCUCCCCGCCCC